RNAcentral lists this unclassified non-coding RNA (334 nucleotides) under soil metagenome. Its description in RNAcentral is "partial contains 5.8S ribosomal RNA, internal transcribed spacer 2, and large subunit ribosomal RNA". The stretch from base 1 to 120 matches the Rfam family "5.8S ribosomal RNA", at positions 35 to 154 of the family's 154-position model. The record is from RNAcentral.
GAUGAAGAACGUAGCGAAAUGGGAUAAGUAGUGUGAAUUGCAGAAUUCAGUGAAUCAUCGAAUCUUUGAACGCACAUUGCGCCUGCCAGCACUCUGGCAGGCAUGCCUGUUCGAGCGUCAUUUCAACCAUCAAGCCCUAGGCUUGCGUUGGAGCCCUGCGGCUGCCGCAGGCCCCUAAAAGCAGUGGCGGGCUCGCUAUCACACCGAGUGCAGUAGAUUACUCUUCGCUCAGGGCGUGUGGCGGGUUCCAGCCGUGAAACCCCCUACUUCUCAAGGUUGACCUCGGAUCAGGUAGGAAUACCCGCUGAACUUAAGCAUAUCAAUAAGCGGAGGA